This 520-nucleotide ribosomal RNA is filed under the name uncultured Glomus. RNAcentral's name for it is "SSU rRNA". It matches the Rfam family "Eukaryotic small subunit ribosomal RNA", at positions 569 to 1091 of the family's 1831-position model. Lineage: Eukaryota; Fungi; Glomeromycota; Glomeromycetes; Glomerales; Glomeraceae. The record is from RNAcentral.
AGCAGCCGCGGUAAUUCCAGCUCCAAUAGCGUAUAUUAAAGUUGUUGCAGUUAAAAAGCUCGUAGUUGAAUUUCGGGGUUAGUAGGUUGGUCACGCCUCUGGUAUGUACUGAUCUCACUGAUUCCUCCUUCCUUAUGAACCGUAAUGCCAUUAAUUUGGUGUUGCGGGGAAUUUGGACUGUUACUUUGAAAAAAUUAGGGUGUUUAAAGCAAGCUAACGCUUGAAUACAUUAGCAUGGAAUAAUGAAAUAGGACGUUCGAUCUUAUUUUGUUGGUUUCUAGGAUUGACGUAAUGAUUAAUAGGGAUAGUUGGGGGCAUUAGUAUUCAAUUGUCAGAGGUGAAAUUCUUGGAUUUAUUGAAGACUAACUACUGCGAAAGCAUUUGCCAAGGAUGUUUUCAUUAAUCAAGAACGAAAGUUAGGGGAUCGAAGACGAUCAGAUACCGUCGUAGUCUUAACCAUAAACUAUGCCGACUAGGGAUCGGAUGAUGUUAAUUUUUAAUGGCUCAUUCGGCGCCUUAC